GCCAGUUCCGUAAAACUUAACCCACGGAAAGAUUAAGAAGCGGAGAACUGAGGCACCUGGCGCUCCGGAGACAACGGUGACUUUAGAAGCUUAGAACAAGAACAAACGGGAAAAAGCACAGACUUCCCACCUCGCUCAGGAAACCGGCGCUCGCCAGCGCCUGGAUUUCAAGGAAGCUGAACUGAUGGUUCCGAUGAGUGAUGGGAAACAACCAGGUAUUAGAUCCAAAGUGAUGGGUGGAAACUUAAAUAGCAUCCUGCCGUGCACUGUCAUGCAUGAUUUUAAAUCUCAGCAGCUCGGGGAUUGAGUGUGGUGAAAUGUCUAUUUUCAAUAUAAGCAUGAAUGUUACCUUUAAGUAUGGUAUUUAAGUAGAAUAAGUGAGUGCUUCCUUGUUAUAAUUAAAUAAAAUGCUUGGUUCAUCCGGAU
RNAcentral lists this long non-coding RNA (426 nucleotides) under Equus asinus (donkey). RNAcentral describes it as "lncRNA (ENSEASG00005030970.1)". Lineage: Eukaryota; Metazoa; Chordata; Mammalia; Perissodactyla; Equidae. The record is from RNAcentral.